GAUGAACGCUAGCGGCAGACCUAACACAUGCAAGUCGAGGGAGAAGCCCUUUCGGGGGCAGAAACCGGCGCACGGGUGCGUAACGCGUAUGCAACCUACCUUUCACAGGGGGAUAGCCCGAAGAAAUUUGGAUUAAUACCCCAUAAUAUUAUUGGAUGGCAUCAUUUGAUAAUUAAAACUGCGGUGGUGAAAGAUGGGCAUGCGUCCUAUUAGCUAGUUGGAGUGGUAACGGCACCCCAAGGCUACGAUAGGUAGGGGUCCUGAGAGGGAGAUCCCCCACACUGGUACUGAGACAGGGACCAGACUCCUACGGGAGGCAGCAGUGAGGAAUAUUGGUCAAUGGUCGGAAGACUGAACCAGCCAUGCCGCGUGCAGGAAGAAUGCCUUAUGGGUUGUAAACUGCUUUUAUAUGGGAAGAAUAAGGCGUACGUGUACGUUGAUGACGGUACCAUAUGAAUAAGCAUCGGCUAACUCCGUG
This 478-nucleotide ribosomal RNA is filed under the name uncultured bacterium. Its description in RNAcentral is "partial 16S ribosomal RNA". It matches the Rfam family "Bacterial small subunit ribosomal RNA", at positions 28 to 507 of the family's 1533-position model. The record is from RNAcentral.